UGACUGCGUACCUUUUGUAUAAUGGGUCAGCGACUUAUAUUCUGUAGCAAGGUUAACCGAAUAGGGGAGCCGAAGGGAAACCGAGUCUUAACCGGGCGUUAAGUUGCAGGGUAUAGACCCGAAACCCGGUGAUCUAGCCAUGGGCAGGUUGAAGGUUGGGUAACACUAACUGGAGGACCGAACCGACUAAUGUUGAAAAAUUAGCGGAUGACUUGUGGCUGGGGGUGAAAGGCCAAUCAAACCGGGAGAUAGCUGGUUCUCCCCGAAAGCUAUUUAGGUAGCGCCUCGUGAAUUCAUCUCCGGGGGUAGAGCACUGUUUCGGCAAGGGGGUCAUCCCGACUUACCAACCCGAUGCAAACUGCGAAUACCGGAGAAUGUUAUCACGGGAGACACACGGCGGGUGCUAACGUCCGUCGUGAAGAGGGAAACAACCCAGACCGCCAGCUAAGGUCCCAAAGUCAUGGUUAAGUGGGAAACGAUGUGGGAAGGCCCAGACAGCCAGGAUGUUGGCUUAGAAGCAGCCAUCAUUUAAAGAAAGCGUAAUAGCUCACUGGUCGAGUCGGCCUGCGCGGAAGAUGUAACGGGGCUAAACCAUGCACCGAAGCUGCGGCAGCGACACUGUGUGUUGUUGGGUAGGGGAGCGUUCUGUAAGCCUGUGAAGGUGUCUGUGAGGAUGCUGGAGGUAUCAGAAGUGCGAAUGCUGACAUAAGUAACGAUAAAGCGGGUGAAAAGCCCGCUCGCCGGAAGACCAAGGGUUCCUGUCCAACGUUAAUCGGGGCAGGGUGAGUCGACCCCUAAGGCGAGGCCGAAAGGCGUAGUCGAUGGGAAACAGGUUAAUAUUCCUGUACUUGGUGUUACUGCGAAGGGGGGACGGAGAAGGCUAUGUUGGCCGGGCGACGGUUGUCCCGGUUUAAGCGUGUAGGCUGGUUUUCCAGGCAAAUCCGGAAAAUCAAGGCUGAGGCGUGAUGACGAGGCACUACGGUGCUGAAGCAACAAAUGCCCUGCUUCCAGGAAAAGCCUCUAAGCAUCAGGUAACAUCAAAUCGUACCCCAAACCGACACAGGUGGUCAGGUAGAGAAUACCAAGGCGCUUGAGAGAACUCGGGUGAAGGAACUAGGCAAAAUGGUGCCGUAACUUCGGGAGAAGGCACGCUGAUAUGUAGGUGAAGUCCCUCGCGGAUGGAGCUGAAAUCAGUCGAAGAUACCAGCUGGCUGCAACUGUUUAUUAAAAACACAGCACUGUGCAAACACGAAAGUGGACGUAUACGGUGUGACGCCUGCCCGGUGCCGGAAGGUUAAUUGAUGGGGUCAGCGCAAGCGAAGCUCUUGAUCGAAGCCCCGGUAAACGGCGGCCGUAACUAUAACGGUCCUAAGGUAGCGAAAUUCCUUGUCGGGUAAGUUCCGACCUGCACGAAUGGCGUAAUGAUGGCCAGGCUGUCUCCACCCGAGACUCAGUGAAAUUGAACUCGCUGUGAAGAUGCAGUGUACCCGCGGCAAGACGGAAAGACCCCGUGAACCUUUACUAUAGCUUGACACUGAACAUUGAGCCUUGAUGUGUAGGAUAGGUGGGAGGCUUUGAAGUGUGGACGCCAGUCUGCAUGGAGCCGACCUUGAAAUACCACCCUUUAAUGUUUGAUGUUCUAACGUGGACCCGUGAUCCGGGUUGCGGACAGUGUCUGGUGGGUAGUUUGACUGGGGCGGUCUCCUCCUAAAGAGUAACGGAGGAGCACGAAGGUUGGCUAAUCCUGGUCGGACAUCAGGAGGUUAGUGCAAUGGCAUAAGCCAGCUUGACUGCGAGCGUGACGGCGCGAGCAGGUGCGAAAGCAGGUCAUAGUGAUCCGGUGGUUCUGAAUGGAAGGGCCAUCGCUCAACGGAUAAAAGGUACUCCGGGGAUAACAGGCUGAUACCGCCCAAGAGUUCAUAUCGACGGCGGUGUUUGGCACCUCGAUGUCGGCUCAUCACAUCCUGGGGCUGAAGUAGGUCCCAAGGGUAUGGCUGUUCGCCAUUUAAAGUGGUACGCGAGCUGGGUUUAGAACGUCGUGAGACAGUUCGGUCCCUAUCUGCCGUGGGCGCUGGAGAACUGAGGGGGGCUGCUCCUAGUACGAGAGGACCGGAGUGGACGCAUCACUGGUGUUCGGGUUGUCAUGCCAAUGGCACUGCCCGGUAGCUAAAUGCGGAAGAGAUAAGUGCUGAAAGCAUCUAAGCACGAAACUUGCCCCGAGAUGAGUUCUCCCUGACCCUUUAAGGGUCCUGAAGGAACGUUGAAGACGACGACGUUGAUAGGCCGGGUGUGUAAGCGCAGCGAUGCGUUGAGCUAACCGGUACUAAUGAACCGUGAGGCUUAACCUU
This 2348-nucleotide ribosomal RNA is filed under the name Escherichia coli 99.0816. RNAcentral describes it as "bacterial LSU rRNA". It matches the Rfam family "Bacterial large subunit ribosomal RNA", at positions 594 to 2925 of the family's 2925-position model. Lineage: Bacteria; Pseudomonadati; Pseudomonadota; Gammaproteobacteria; Enterobacterales; Enterobacteriaceae. The record is from RNAcentral.